RNAcentral lists this ribosomal RNA (304 nucleotides) under uncultured bacterium. RNAcentral describes it as "partial 16S ribosomal RNA". It matches the Rfam family "Bacterial small subunit ribosomal RNA", at positions 509 to 807 of the family's 1533-position model. The record is from RNAcentral.
CAGCAGUCGCCGCGGGAAUACGGAGGGUGCAAGCGUUAAUCGGAAUUACUGGGCGUAAAGCGCACGCAGGCGGUCUGACAAGUCAGAUGUGAAAUCCCCGGGCUUAACCUGGGAACUGCAUUUGAAACUGUCAGGCUGGAGUCUUGUAGAGGGGGGUAGAAUUCCAGGUGUAGCGGUGAAAUGCGUAGAGAUCUGGAGGAAUACCGGUGGCGAAGGCGGCCCCCUGGACAAAGACUGACGCUCAGGUGCGAAAGCGUGGGGAGCAAACAGGAUUAGAUACCCCUGUAGUCCCUGUCUCUUAUAC